GUAAUACCGCAUGGUAUAGCAAUUAAAGGAGUAAUCCGCUAUGAGAUGGACCCGCGUCGCAUUAGCUAGUUGGUGAGGUAACGGCUCACCAAGGCGACGAUGCGUAGCCGACCUGAGAGGGUGAUCGGCCACAUUGGGACUGAGACACGGCCCAGACUCCUACGGGAGGCAGCAGUGGGGAAUAUUGCACAAUGGGGGAAACCCUGAUGCAGCAACGCCGCGUGAGUGAUGACGGUCUUCGGAUUGUAGAGCUCUGUCUUCAGGGACGAUAAUGACGGUACCUGAGGAGGAAGCCACGGCUAACUACGUGCCAGCAGCCGCGGUAAUACGUAGGUGGCAAGCGUUGUCCGGAUUUACUGGGCGUAAAGGGAGCGUAGGUGGAUAUUUAAGUGGGAUGUGAAAUACUCGGGCUUAACCUGGGUGCUGCAUUCCAAACUGGAUAUCUAGAGUGCAGGAGAGGAAAGUAGAAUUCCUAGUGUAGCGGUGAAAUGCGUAGAGAUUAGGAAGAAUACCAGUGGCGAAGGCGACUUUCUGGACUGUAACUGACACUGAGGCUCGAAAGCGUGGGGAGCAAACAGGAUUAGAUACCCUG
This 592-nucleotide ribosomal RNA is filed under the name uncultured Clostridium sp. RNAcentral's name for it is "bacterial SSU rRNA". It matches the Rfam family "Bacterial small subunit ribosomal RNA", at positions 163 to 789 of the family's 1533-position model. Lineage: Bacteria; Bacillati; Bacillota; Clostridia; Eubacteriales; Clostridiaceae. The record is from RNAcentral.